CCUACGGGUGGCAGCAGUGGUGAAUAUUGCACAAUGGGGGAAACCCUGAUGCAGCGACGCCGCGUGAGUGAAGAAGUAAUUCGUUACGUAAAGCUCUAUCAGCAGGGAAGAAACACUGACCUUACGGUCAGCAGACGGUACCUGAAGAAAAAGCAUCGGCUAACUCCGUGCCAGCAGCCGCGGUAAUACGGAGGAUGCGAGCGUUAUCCGGAUUUAUUGGGUUUAAAGGGUGCGUAGGCGGAAUGCCAAGUCAGCGGUAAAAUCGCGGGGCUCAACCUCGCUCCGCCGUUGAUACUGGCGUGCUGGAGUGGGCGAGAAGUAUGCGGAAUGCGUGGUGUAGCGGUGAAAUGCAUAGAUAUCACGCAGAACUCCGAUUGCGAAGGCAGCAUACCGGCGCCCAACUGACGCUGAAGCACGAAAGCGUGGGUAUCGAACAGGAUUAGAUACCCGAGUAGUC
Molecule: ribosomal RNA, 457 nt
Filed under: uncultured bacterium
Lineage: Bacteria
Description: partial 16S ribosomal RNA
Rfam family: Bacterial small subunit ribosomal RNA
Source: RNAcentral